AAUACAAAAUAGAAGUUUUCUUUUUUAAAUAUGUGGUUUUUGAAAAAAUGUCUGAAAUGAUUUCUACCUGGGUCCAUGCAGGCCUCUCAUAAAAAGUGGAUUUUUUUAAAUUCUUGAUCUAGUGAUCAAUUUGCUGUUCAGCUGCUCCUCCAUGUCCAACUCUGCGAGCACACGGACUGCAGGCACAAUUUGUACUAGGCUCAUCAGAAGCAUGGUCGGGGAGGCGUUGCUACAAGAUGCUAUGAGAUAUUCACACGGGCUGGGCAGCCCUGAGUCCCAAACCAGACACACCAGGACAGGAUGCCAGUGGCAGCAAGUCCUCAUCUCUCCGCCAGCUCAUGGAACCAGCUGUUGAAAGCAGAAGCGCGUUUGAAUGAGCUAAACCCCAUGUGCAGGGGGAGCACUGUUUUCAAGAGGAAGCAGCCAGGAGUCUCUACAGAAGUCCGUUGCACUGGAAGA
This is a long non-coding RNA of Odocoileus virginianus texanus, 459 nucleotides long. RefSeq lists it as uncharacterized. Lineage: Eukaryota; Metazoa; Chordata; Mammalia; Artiodactyla; Cervidae. The record is from RefSeq and is a predicted model, not a curated record.